GGGUGCGUGGCCCAAUGGCAAGGCGCUUGACUACGAAUCAAGAGAUUGCAGGUUCGAUCCCUGCCGUGCUCA
This is a transfer RNA of Aureobasidium subglaciale EXF-2481, 72 nucleotides long. It matches the Rfam family "tRNA". Rfam says of the family: Transfer RNA (tRNA) molecules are approximately 80 nucleotides in length. The record is from Rfam. NCBI's taxonomy places the organism in Eukaryota, Fungi, Ascomycota, Dothideomycetes, Dothideales, Saccotheciaceae.